AAGUUAUAUAUUUCUUAUUACUAAAAUUUUGUCCUCUUUUUCUUUAAAUUUCUUAUGUAAAGGGUUUAUGGCUAUUGCGAAAUUUUUUGACUUGGGGAUGAGGAGAAAAUCUUCUAUUAUUAUUGUCCUGAGAAAUUGGCAAGCGUUACUUUGGAGGAUGGGUAUCGAUUGGCAUUCUCGUGCCGUUAUCCUGGCAUUUGGGCUGCUGGAAUUUGGGCUAGUCCAGGGAUUUGGGCUGAGCUGGGAAUAAUGACCCAAUAUUAUAAGCUCUUUCGUUGACAGAUGGCUCAACAAUAAACUGGAUCCUCUUUUGAGACCAGUUAUUACAUUCAACUGGCCCAGUACGUUUCUUGCCGCAUCAUGAUGGUAUGUACUACCAUGAAACCAAUAAAGUUUCCAUCACACUUGCCGGGGACGGUGCCCAUUGAAGAGCUCAAACAAGCAGGCAGGCACUUUAUGUAUAUGCUCGUGAAUUUCCUCUGGCAUGCAGCUCUGCUACCAACCGACGACGAGAAACAUAUGUUGGACAAAACUACGUUACAGACUCUGUAUGUAACAGCUCAAUGAAACUUAGUCUUGUAUCAGCUAAGUUCCAACAACUUUUCCUCUCUCCUGCAAGGUCCACAUAUGUUAUAUGUCAUCAUUGUUCAUUUAACUUACUUUUGGUGGAGUCAUUUCAAAAUGACAAAAUGAUUUGUUGUGUCCUUGAAAAUUUCCUCAAGGAAAUAUUUAACUCUCUCUCUUCAUAAUGGAUAUGAUGCACUCAAAUACAACUAGGGAUGCCAAUAGGGAAGGGAGGGAAGGGGAUCAAUCUCUCCGUACUCAUCCCCAUAUUUUGCGUAUGUCUCCAUCCCCUCCCUGUCCCCGUCAGAAUUAUUUGAGAGAAUCAUCAUCUCCUCCCCGAAUAAUAACAGGGGAUCCCCAAAGGUCCCCGAUCCCCGAAUAACUAAUACAUUUUUUAUUUUCG
Molecule: long non-coding RNA, 967 nt
Filed under: Citrus x clementina
Lineage: Eukaryota; Viridiplantae; Streptophyta; Magnoliopsida; Sapindales; Rutaceae
Description: Citrus clementina (C. clementina) long non-coding RNA (CCLE_LNC001991)
Source: RNAcentral